RNAcentral lists this transfer RNA (76 nucleotides) under Alcanivorax sp. RNAcentral describes it as "tRNA-Lys". It matches the Rfam family "tRNA". From Rfam's summary of the family: Transfer RNA (tRNA) molecules are approximately 80 nucleotides in length. The record is from RNAcentral. Lineage: Bacteria; Pseudomonadati; Pseudomonadota; Gammaproteobacteria; Oceanospirillales; Alcanivoracaceae.
GGGCCGUUAGCUCAGUCGGUAGAGCAGUUGGCUUUUAACCAAUUGGUCGCUGGUUCGAAUCCAGCACGACCCACCA